Molecule: ribosomal RNA, 381 nt
Filed under: uncultured bacterium
Lineage: Bacteria
Description: bacterial SSU rRNA
Rfam family: Bacterial small subunit ribosomal RNA
Source: RNAcentral
GCCCGCCAUGGGGGCCCGCGGGAAUUGAUUAGAGUUUGAUCAUGUUUCAGGAUUGAACCCUGGGGGCACCCUUUAAAAAAUUCAAUUCGAAUGGCAGCCACGGGGACCAAUCCUGUGGGGAGUGGCGAACGGGUGAGUAAUAUAUGGGAACGUGCCCAGUAGUGGGGGAUACCCCGGCGAAACCCGGAUUAAUACCGUCAUACGACCUGUGGGUGAAAGCGGGGGGAUCCCAAGACCUCGCGUUAUUGGAGCGGCCGAUAUCAGAUUAGCUUGUUGGUGGGGUAAAAGCCCACCAAGGGGACGAUCUGUAGCUGUUUUGAGAGGAGGACCAGCCACACUGGGAAUUGAGACACGGCCCAGAUUCUUACCGGGAGGCAGCAG